Molecule: ribosomal RNA, 203 nt
Filed under: uncultured bacterium
Lineage: Bacteria
Description: partial 16S ribosomal RNA
Rfam family: Bacterial small subunit ribosomal RNA
Source: RNAcentral
UACAGAGGGUGCGAGCGUUAAUCGGAAUUACUGGGCGUAAAGCGCACGUAGUCGGCUUUGCAAGUCGGGUGUGAAAUCCCGAGGCUCAACCUCGGAACUGCCUUUGAUACUGGGGAUCUCGAGUCCGGGAGAGGUGAGUGGAACUGCGAGUGUAGAGGUGAAAUUCGUAGAUAUUCGCAAGAACACCAGUGGCGAAGGCGGCU